RNAcentral lists this ribosomal RNA (253 nucleotides) under uncultured bacterium. RNAcentral's name for it is "partial 16S ribosomal RNA". It matches the Rfam family "Bacterial small subunit ribosomal RNA", at positions 524 to 776 of the family's 1533-position model. The record is from RNAcentral.
UACAGAGACUGCAAGCGUUAUUCGGAUUCACUGGGCGUAAAGGGUGCGCAGGCGUCCGUGUGUGUAAGGUGUGAAAUCCCGAGGCUCACCCUCGGAACUGCGCCUUAAACUACAUGGCUAGAGUAUUGGAGAGGGUAACGGAAUUCACGGUGUAGCAGGGAAAUGCGUAGAUAUCGUGAGGAACACCAGAGGCGAAGGCGGUUACCGGGACAAUUACUGACGCUCAGGCACGAAAGCAUGGGGAGCAAAAGGG